Long non-coding RNA from Heterocephalus glaber (naked mole-rat), 3283 nucleotides. The record is from Ensembl. Lineage: Eukaryota; Metazoa; Chordata; Mammalia; Rodentia; Bathyergidae.
GUUGAACCGGGUCUUACUGUAUAGUUGAGGCUGAACUUGAUCUCAGACUAUGUAGCUCAGGCUGGCCUUAAACUCACAGCAGUCCUCCUGCCUCAGCCCCCCAAGUACUGGGAUUACAGGCAUAUGCUACCAUGCCUGGCUUGGCAGUUGUGGACAUUUAAAAGUAUAUUUUUCCUCUAUCAAUUUAUAAUUUUCCUCAUGGGCCAGGGAUGUAGCUCAGCAGCACAGUGCCUGCCUGGAAGGCAUGAGGCCCUGAGUUUGAUUCCUGGUAACCCCUCCCCUCCCCCAAAUCUUAUAAUUUUUCUUAGGUAAGAGUCCAAGUAGAAAUAGGAAAAAUAAUACGAACAAAUGUAUUCUUCACAAAACCCCCACAGUAUCCAUGGUUUCUCCUUUGCUGUGUCCUUGUGGCUUAGCUAAUGUAUGCUUGUGUGCUAUCAAGUCACAGGACUGGUGAGGAAUUUGGUUUUGGUUAUUUUUCUUUUUUCUUUUUUGUACUGGGGAUCGAACUCGGGACCUUGUGUUAGCGAGGCAGGUGGCAAAACCACUGAGCUAAAUCCCUGGCCCUUGGUUAUUUUUCUUGACCUUGUAUCUUCCAUAUAGCUUAUAGGAGUUCAUAAUUUUGAAGCCCAAGCCUUCAAGAAGAAAUUCUGACUUUGCAUUAAGCCCUUCUGAUGGGAAAGAAAAAAAAUACUUACUAAAAAGAAAGUUUAAUCCCUCUAGAGAACUGGAGCUCAGUUACUCCCUCAUAUAUUACUAAGAUUACUUUAAAAGCUAGAGUUAUAGAAUGAAAACUUUUUGAGUAAUUUUUAAUACAUAGAAAUACUUGAUACCCCAUGUUUUGAAUAUUAGUUGCUUCACAACUUUGCAUAUUAUAGAAUGUCUUAGUUACUUUCUUGUUGCUGGGACAAAAUACCCAACACCCACAAGUUAAAGGAGGAAAGGUUUAUUUUAGCUUUUAGUUUAUAAAGAUUUCAGUCCAUAGUCAGCUGGCUCCAAAGCAUGCCAGAGGGGUAUGGCAGAGGAAACCUGCUCAUGGCAUGGCAGUGGGAAGCAGCAAGCCAUCAAGGCAGGAGAGAUAUACAGUAUAUACAUCUCCAAGCCACAAACCAUGCCCACAGUGUGACCCACCUCUUUCCACCAGGCUUCACCUCAGUCACACCCACUAUAAACCCAUCAGUGGACUAAUCCAGUAUCACCUGUGAUCCAGUCACUUCCCAAAAGAUGGGCGCAUGAGGCUUUAGGGGAACAUUACAUAUAAGCCAUAAUAACAUAGGAUAAAAGAAAUAAGGAUUCAGUGCAAAAAAAUGUUCUUUCCAUAGAAAAAGCUUUUCAUUUGAACUUAGUAAUAGAUUUUUAGCAGCCCAUGAACUCUAGAAACUUCUAGCAGUCUUGGAUAUUAAAGUAUCCUUGGCCUUUGUCCCUGAAUUCCUGCAAGUCUCAGAUACUUUCCAUUCAGCCCAGUAUUCCUCCAAGACGGCAUUUUCGGAGAAGCUCUAACUUUUCACUGCUCUUGUGAUGCUAUUAAACAUGUAUCUGGGAUGGUAAUGGUUAUUUAACACAAAUUCAAGUUUGAGACCACUGAUAAUCUUCCCUUUCUUUUGCUUUUGGGCUUUGAUGACCCGUGGUCACCCAGAGUGGAGCACGUGCAGAGUAAGCCAUUGGAAAGCAGAAAAAAUAUAUUGAAGCAUGAUAGUUCACAUAUUUAUAAAUAAAUACAUUCAUGAACCAGGCAUGGUGGGAUUACACACCUAUAAUCCCAGCACUGGAGAGGCUGACUUGGAGGAUCGCCUGUGAGUUCAAGGCCAGCCUGGGCUACAUAGUUCAAGGUCAGCCUGAAAUACAUAGUGAGACCCUGUGUCAAAAAAUAAAAGCAUAUAGAGAUAGUGCUUGAUAAGCAUUCAAUAAAGUGCUAGUAUUAGUAUCAUUUCAGUGGGUAAAUUCUAUUAGAUUGAAUGUUUGUGUUCCCCCACAAUUCAUGUUGAAACCUAAUGCGCAAUGUGAUGGUAUUUAGAAGUGGGGCCUUUGGGGAGAGAUUAGAUCAUGAGGGCAAAUGAAGUCAGUGCCCUUGGAAAAGAAUUUAGAGAACUGCCUUGCCCUUUCUUCCAUGUGAGGACAUAGCAGAAAAGACAGCUGUCUGUGUACCAGGAAACAUAUCCUCAGGAGACACUGAAUCUGCAAGCACCCUAAUCUUGGACUUGCCAGAAGUGUGAAAUGUAAAGAAAUGCAAGAUGCGAAGUUUUAUUUUUUUUGUAAACCACUCAGUAUGUUAUUUUGUUAUAGCUGCCUCAAACACACUUAAGACACUUUCCUUUGAUUAUUUUUCUAAAGCUUUCUACAGCCAGUGCUACUGAUAAAAUCCAGAAAGCAAUAUUAAUUAUUUCCUAUGUUUAUCUUUCAGUUCAAACGAAAGUAUUGAAGAACCCUUGUAACCUCAAUUGAAAGAUCAUUAGAGGGAGCCAGCCCCUAGAUUUGGACGAAUGUUCUUUAUAUAUCCCCUUUCACAUUUCACAAUCAUGAUUUAGAAUGAAAAUUGACAUUUCAGUCACUAAAACUGGUAGUUUUGGGCUGAGGGUGUAGCUCAGUGGUAGAGCACAUGCCUAGCAUGUUUAAGGCCCUGGAUCCAAUCCCUAGGACUGGCAAACACAAAGAAAAAAAGACUGAUAGCUCGUCUGUAUGAUCUGGCCUCUCUUGAGCCAAGUUAAAUCAGCUGUUGGAGAAGCAGUGAAAGGGACAGGGGACCAAGAGAUGGAGGAAGAGGGGAGAACAGGUAAAAAAAUUAUGUGUUACAUGCAUGCAUCGACUACCUACAAGGAGUGGAAUCAUUAUGUACUGCAAACCUGUACUAAUAAAAUGAAAAAUGUUGAAUUGAGUUCCAAAGUACAUUUCAACGUCAUGUGCUUUUUGUGGUCUUCUUUUGUGGUACUGGGUGUUGAACCCAGAGCUAUUACACUGAGCUUUAGCUUCCCCCACCUUUUUAUGUUUAUUUUGAGACAGGGUCUUGCUAAGUUGCCCAGGCGGAAUUUGAACUGAGGAUCCUCCUGCCUCAGCUUCCAAAAUGCUGGGAUUACAGGUGUGGGCUACCAUGCCAAGCAGGGUCUCACCAUGCAGUCAGGCUGGCCUCGAACUUCAGCAGUCCUCCUGCCUCAGCCUCUCCUGGUGCUAGAAUUGGCAGGUGUGCAUUACCAUUCCCAGAAACGUUGCACCUCUCAUCACUGCUGGCAAGGCAGCACCUGGAGGAAGACUCUUGUUUCCUCAAGGAGCCUUCAUUGCAUGCAGAAAGGAC